Molecule: long non-coding RNA, 627 nt
Organism: Xyrauchen texanus (razorback sucker)
Lineage: Eukaryota; Metazoa; Chordata; Actinopteri; Cypriniformes; Catostomidae
Exons: 2
Source: RefSeq, a predicted model, not a curated record
GAAGAAGCGCUGGAGAGAGAAACAUGAUGGACAAGGUGCAUUCCAGUGUGUGCCCUUGUGUUGUGUUCACAUGCAAGGGGCCUUUUGAUGAUAAUUGUCUUGGGAUUCAGAGAGCGGCGAGAGAGACUCUGUACUCAUGUAUUGCAUAUAUAUUAUAUAUAUAUUGUAAGUAAAUCAAAACCAAAUAAUUUACAAGCUUUUAACUUCAUGAGGUGCAAUGGCAAGGUAUCUAACACCGGAGACGUCCUUGGUGAAUCUGCCUCUGGCUGGACAUUUCUUUACAGUCCUUUUUAAAGUCCAUCAACUUUUUGACAUGUUCAGAAAUCCCUCCUGGAAACUCCCUCUGCAUACAUUCAGUCUUUUACAGCCAAAUGGUCAAACACAAAAUCUUGAACUGUCAUUAUUUCUGGAAGACCCCUUAGGACUUUUGCAUAUAAAACUCUUUGUCUCUUUGUCCUCUUUUUCUGGACCUUUCCAUCAUCGCUGUAUCUUCUGUAUCUCGUCUGCAACACAUAGACGGUAAUGAUGGCAUUUUUCUCCUUUCUUUUGCAAAGCUCUUUCUAAUACAUUUUCAACUCCUCUCUACUCUGCCACCAUCAUCUGCUUAAUAAAUGCUUACAACAUUCA